RNAcentral lists this ribosomal RNA (253 nucleotides) under uncultured bacterium. RNAcentral describes it as "partial 16S ribosomal RNA". It matches the Rfam family "Bacterial small subunit ribosomal RNA", at positions 524 to 776 of the family's 1533-position model. The record is from RNAcentral.
UAUGUAGGGGGCAAGCGUUGUCCGGAAUCAUUGGGCGUAAAGAGCGUGUAGGCGGCCAGAUAAGUCCGCUGUGAAAUCUCGAGGCUCAACUUCGAGCUGUCGGUGGAAACUGUCUGGCUAGAGUCCGGAAGAGGAGAAUGGAAUUCCUGGUGUAGCGGUGAAAUGCGCAGAUAUCAGGAAGAACACCCGUGGCGAAGGCGGUUCUCUGGGACGGUACUGACGCUGAGACGCGAAAGCGUGGGGAGCGAACAGG